AAUACCGUCUGUCUUAUCGCCGGGAAGUUUGCGCUUGCGUCUGCUUUCAGGAGGAAAGUCCGGACAACAGAGGGCACCACACUUCCUAACAGGAAGGUACUGAUCCCGUUGUAAAACGGGUAAGUAACAGAAAGUGCAACAGAAAACAAACAGCCCUAAAGCUGAGCCUUUGGCGCGCUUUUCGGCUACGGUGAAAAGGUGGGCCCGCCUCCGCAAGGAGGUGGGAUAAUUUGCUUCGGCAGACAAUGUAAGAGCCCACCGCGCCAAUGGUGACAUUGGUGGCAUGGUAAACCUUGUGGGUUGCAAGAUCAAGUAUAUUGCGCAUGAGUUGCCCGCUCAAAAUGUGCAAUGGGUGGAUCGCUGGAUCCUGAUGGCGACAUCAGGGCUAGAUAAAUGAUAAGACCCCAAAGCAGAGCCUCUGGCAAUCUUUGGGUGACAGAAUCCGGCUUACAGGGCGGUAUUUCAU
Molecule: RNase P RNA, 466 nt
Filed under: Hyphobacterium sp. CCMP332
Lineage: Bacteria; Pseudomonadati; Pseudomonadota; Alphaproteobacteria; Maricaulales; Maricaulaceae
Description: RNase P RNA component class A
Rfam family: Bacterial RNase P class A
About the family: Ribonuclease P (RNase P) is a ubiquitous endoribonuclease, found in archaea, bacteria and eukarya as well as chloroplasts and mitochondria. Its best characterised activity is the generation of mature 5'-ends of tRNAs by cleaving the 5'-leader elements of precursor-tRNAs.
Source: RNAcentral